CGGAGGGGCGAGCGUUGUCCGAAUUUAUUGGGCGUAAAGCGCGUGUAGGCGGACCAACAAGCCUGGGGUGGAAAGGUUGGGGCGUCAACCCCAUACAGUGCCUUGGGGACUGUUGGUCUGGAGGCAGGCAGAGGAGUGUGGAAUUCCUGGUGUAGCGGUGGAAUGCGUAGAGAUCAGGAAGAACACCCGUGGCGAAGGCGGCACUCUGGGGCCUGUACUGACGCUGAGACGCGAAAGCGCGGGGAGCGAACGGGAUU
Molecule: ribosomal RNA, 257 nt
Filed under: uncultured bacterium
Lineage: Bacteria
Description: partial 16S ribosomal RNA
Rfam family: Bacterial small subunit ribosomal RNA
Source: RNAcentral